CUUUAGGGCCGGUUAUGACCAAGUUUACCAUAGCAUUGAGAGAAAUUGGGACAUACAAGGAAGUUCUUCGGUCCCACGUUGAAACCGAGCUAAAUGACAAAUUACUGCAGUUUGUCAAUAUUGAUUUACUUGAGGUCAAGGAAGCACGUAAACACUUUGACAAGGCUAGUCUCAUUUACGACCA
This is a long non-coding RNA of Hibiscus syriacus, 184 nucleotides long. RefSeq lists it as uncharacterized. The record is from RefSeq and is a predicted model, not a curated record. NCBI's taxonomy places the organism in Eukaryota, Viridiplantae, Streptophyta, Magnoliopsida, Malvales, Malvaceae. The transcript has 3 exons.